This 774-nucleotide ribosomal RNA is filed under the name uncultured Neocallimastigales. Its description in RNAcentral is "partial large subunit ribosomal RNA". It matches the Rfam family "Eukaryotic large subunit ribosomal RNA", at positions 22 to 639 of the family's 3401-position model. The record is from RNAcentral. Lineage: Eukaryota; Fungi; Neocallimastigomycota; Neocallimastigomycetes; Neocallimastigales.
UAGAUGCGAGAGUAGAGCAUAUCAAUAAGCGGAGGAAAAGAAACUAACUGGGAUUCCCUCAGUAACGGCGAGUGAAGCGGGAAGAGCUCAAAUUUGAAAUCUUCAAGGUUCUACCUUGACGAAUUGUAGUUUAAAGAAGUGUUUUCUGUUGGAGUUUUGGUAAAAGUUCUUUGGAAUAGGGCAUCAUAGAGGGUGAGAAUCCCGUAUUUGACCAUUAUUUCCAACUUUGUGAUACACUUCCAAAGAGUCGGAUUGUUUGGGAAUGCAGUCCAAAAUGGGUGGUAAAUUUCAUCUAAAGCUAAAUACUGGCGAGAGACCGAUAGCGAACAAGUACCGUGAGGGAAAGAUGAAAAGAACUUUGAAAAGAGAGUUAAACAGUACGUGAAAUUGUCAAAAGGGAAGCGUUUGACACCAGUGUUGUUUUUCCGAAAAUCAAUUACGAAUGUUUUGUUUUUGAGGAGUUAUGACUUCAUCGGCUUGCUCCUUUCUUUACGAAACUUUCUUAAUGCACUUUUCGGUUAACAAGUCAACAUCAAUUUCUUUUGUUGUAAAAGGGUAUGAGGAAGGUGGCUUUCUUUUCGGAGAAAGUGUUUAUAGCCUUGUGCCUCUGCAAUCGGAGAGAUUGAGGUCUGCAGCGUAGAUCCUUCGGGGUUAGAUACGUUUGUGCUAAGUUAUAGCUUUUCAUAGACAACUUGUUGACUAUGUUUAGUCUUGUAGCUUACUCGCUGAUGCUAUUUUACCUACGCUUAGGAUGUUGACGCGCGUGUGUGCGUG